This 497-nucleotide ribosomal RNA is filed under the name uncultured bacterium. RNAcentral's name for it is "partial 16S ribosomal RNA". It matches the Rfam family "Bacterial small subunit ribosomal RNA", at positions 28 to 507 of the family's 1533-position model. The record is from RNAcentral.
GACGAACGCUGGCGGCGUGCCUAAUACAUGCAAGUUGAGCGCUGAAGGUUGGUACUUGUACCAACUGGAUGAGCAGCGAACGGGUGAGUAACGCGUGGGGAAUCUGCCUUUGAGCGGGGGACAACAUUUGGAAACGAAUGCUAAUACCGCAUAAAAACUUUAAACACAAGUUUUAAGUUUGAAAGAUGCAAUUGCAUCACUCAAAGAUGAUCCCGCGUUUUAUUAGCCAGUUGGUGAGGUAAAGGCCCACCAAGGCGAAGAUACAUAGCCGACCUGAGGGGGAGAUCGACCAAAAUGGGAAUGGGACAAGGCCCAAAAUCCUACGGGAGGCAGCAGGAGGGAAUCUUCGGCAAAGGACGGAAGGCUGAACGAGGAACGCCGGGUGAGGGAAGAAGGUUUUCGGAUCGUAAAACUCUGUUGGUAGAGAAGAAAGUUGGUGAGAGUGGAAAGCUCAUGAAGUGACGGUAACUACACAGAAAGGGACGGCUAACUACGUG